AGAGUUUGAUCAUGGCUCAGAAUCAACGCUGGCGGCGCGCCUAACACAUGCAAGUCGAACGAGAAAGUGGAGCAAUCCAUGAGUACAGUGGCGUACGGGUGAGUAACACGUGGGUGAUCUACCUCUUAGUGAGGAAUAACCCUGGGAAACCGGGGCUAAUACCGCAUAAGCCUGAGAAGGGAAAGCAGCAAUGCGCUGAGAGAGGAGCCCGCGGCCGAUUAGCUAGUUGGUGAGGUAAAAGCCCACCAAGGCAGAGAUCGGUAGCCGGCCUGAGAGGGCACACGGCCACACUGGCACUGAAACACGGGCCAGACUCCUACGGGAGGCAGCAGUGGGGAACCUUGCACAAUGGGGGAAACCCUGAUGCAGCGACGCCGCGUGAGCGAUGAAGCCCUUCGGGGUGUAAAGCUCUUUCGUCAGGGAAGAUUAUGACGGUACCUGGAGAAGCAGCUGCGGCUAACUACGUGCCAGCAGCCGCGGUAAUACGUAGGCAGCAAGCGUUGUUCGGAGUUACUGGGCGUAAAGGGUGUGUAGGCGGUUCUUUAAGUUUGGUGUGAAAUCUCCCGGCUCAACCGGGAGGGUGCGCCGAAUACUGAGGGACUAGAGUGUGGGAGAGGAAAGUGGAAUUCCUGGUGUAGCGGUGAAAUGCGUAGAUAUCAGGAGGAACACCGGUGGUGUAGACGGCUUUCUGGACCAUAACUGACGCUGAGACACGAAAGCGUGGGUAGCAAACAGGAUUAGAUACCCUCGUAGUCC
This 756-nucleotide ribosomal RNA is filed under the name uncultured bacterium. RNAcentral describes it as "bacterial SSU rRNA". It matches the Rfam family "Bacterial small subunit ribosomal RNA", at positions 8 to 796 of the family's 1533-position model. The record is from RNAcentral.